GAAGGAAGAGGAAAGAGAAGCAGAAGUCGUCGCUUUGAGUCGGGGGAGAGUGUGAGCCAAUAGCUGGUUCCUGGGCAGAGGAUGGAUAGAGAAGAGCAUAUACAGAUUCAGGACAUUUCAUCAGAGAUGUUUUCUAAACCCACAGCAAUCUCAUCUUGCUCCAGAAACUCAGGAUUCCACCCCCAGAGGUGAGCACGCUAGGACAGGACGCAGUACUGUCAGGAAAACAGAGUCCACCAGCUGGAGAACAACCUUCUGAGCAAACACCCAAGGUCACAGCCAUCCUCAAAUGCAAAGAGUGAGCCCAACUGAAACGCCCUACGGUGCUCCCAGCUCCCGAGAAAGUGACAGAAAGAUGCACAAAGAAGGAAGAAGAGGUUCAAAUGGCAGAUGAGGGAAAGCCAGAAAGGUGAGAAGAAAGAAAGGCAGAGCAAGAGAGACUGCAGAGAAUAAGGAAGGAAGGAAAAUGCAGAGGAAAAGGGGAGGUGAUUUAGAAGGGGGAGUGAAGGGAGAUAGCAGUGUGCAAGCA
This 529-nucleotide long non-coding RNA is filed under the name Capra hircus (goat). Its description in RNAcentral is "lncRNA (ENSCHIG00010004217.1)". Lineage: Eukaryota; Metazoa; Chordata; Mammalia; Artiodactyla; Bovidae. The record is from RNAcentral.